GCUGAAGUGGAACCGGAGAGAGUUAACUUAACUUGGUAGCUAUAUUCUCUAGGGUCGCUUAACUGUGGCUGUGGGGGAUGGACGCUACCUGUUGUUGCACUGACUGCGUUGAUCGUGCUUUCCGAACAGUGUAGCGUUGCCCACUUUGUGGUGUCUUGCUCGCUGGGAGGUUUGUCAUGGUUAACGUAUAGCCUUAGUCCCGAGGGAGUCAGUGUGAAAGUUAACCACCUUUCCGACCCGUCUUGAAACACGGACCGAGGAGUGUUGGUUAUACGCGAGUCAAGGAGUGGUGAAAACUCUAGGGGCGGAAUGAAAGUAAAGACUAGUUAACUAGUUGACAUGGGAUCCGCUCUUCGGAGCGGCGCACCAUGGCCCUGUCUUGUCUGCUUGCAGAUGGGCAGCGGUAGAGCGUAUAGCUUGCGACCCGAAAGAUGGUGAACUAUGCUUGAGCAGGACGAAGCCAGAGGAAACUCUGGUGGAAGUCCGUAUCGGUUCUGACGUGCAAAUCGAUCGAUAGACUUGAGUAUAGGGGCGAAAGACUAAUCGAACUAUCUAGUAG
This 559-nucleotide ribosomal RNA is filed under the name Heterorhabditis zealandica. RNAcentral describes it as "partial large subunit ribosomal RNA". It matches the Rfam family "Eukaryotic large subunit ribosomal RNA", at positions 407 to 950 of the family's 3401-position model. The record is from RNAcentral. Lineage: Eukaryota; Metazoa; Nematoda; Chromadorea; Rhabditida; Heterorhabditidae.